UCGAGAAUUUUUCACAAUGGGCGAAAGCCUGAUGGAGCGACGCCGCGUGGGGGAUGAAUGGCUUCGGCCCGUAAACCCCUGUCAUUUGCGAGCAAACCUCUUCUGAUAAUACCGGAAGAGUUGAUAGUAGCGAAAGAGGAAGGGACGGCUAACUCUGUGCCAGCAGCCGCGGGAAUACAGAGGUCCCAAGCGUUGUUCGGAUUCCCUGGGCGUAAAGGGUGCGUAGGUGGCUGGGUAAGUUCGGUGUGAAAUCUCCAGGCUCAACCUGGAAAUUGCAUUGAAUACUAUUCAGC
RNAcentral lists this ribosomal RNA (293 nucleotides) under uncultured prokaryote. Its description in RNAcentral is "partial 16S ribosomal RNA". It matches the Rfam family "Bacterial small subunit ribosomal RNA", at positions 355 to 641 of the family's 1533-position model. The record is from RNAcentral.